AACAUAACCUUUAGCCCAAACAAAUAUUAAAGGCAACGCCUGCCCAGUGAACAAUUAAACGGCCGCGGUACCCUAACCGUGCAAAGGUAGCGUAAUCACCUGUCUAUUAAUUGUAGACCCGUAUGAAUGGCAAAAUGAGGGUCUAUCUGUCUCUUAUAGUAAAUCAAUUAAACUGAUCCCCCAGUCCAAAAGCUGGGAUACAAACAUAAGACCAGAAGACCCUGUGAAGCUUAAACUAAAGUAUUAAAACACAUAACACCUCCUUUCGGUUGGGGCGACCUUGGAAAAAAAAAGAACUUCCAUACUGUUGACUACCCACAACAACCCAGGCUGACAAGCCAAAUAUGACCCAGCAUAGCUGACCACAGAACCAAGUUACUCCAGGGAUAACAGCGCUAUCUUCUUCAAGAGCCCAUAUCAAAAAGAAGGUUUACGACCUCGAUGUUGGAUCAGGACAUCCUAUUGGCGCAGCCGCUAUUAAGGGUUCGUUUGUUCAACGAUUAAUAGUCCUACGUGAUC
RNAcentral lists this ribosomal RNA (519 nucleotides) under Gonionotophis brussauxi. RNAcentral describes it as "partial 16S ribosomal RNA". It matches the Rfam family "Bacterial large subunit ribosomal RNA", at positions 1812 to 2605 of the family's 2925-position model. Lineage: Eukaryota; Metazoa; Chordata; Lepidosauria; Squamata; Lamprophiidae. The record is from RNAcentral.